ACUGAUGGCAUGAAGCUCACUUCCAGGGACUUCCUCGGUGGCACAGUGGUUAAGAAUCCGCCUGCCAAUGCAGGGGACACGGGUUUGAGCCCUGGUCUGGGAAGAUCCCACAUGCCACGGAGCAACUAAGCCCG
Molecule: long non-coding RNA, 134 nt
Organism: Aethalodelphis obliquidens (Pacific white-sided dolphin)
Lineage: Eukaryota; Metazoa; Chordata; Mammalia; Artiodactyla; Delphinidae
Exons: 3
Source: RefSeq, a predicted model, not a curated record